UUGAAAUUUGGCAGCGUUUUCCCUCUCUCAGUUUUUCUAUCCCCUUCUUCAUCGAUUUCUUCUUCUUUUAUAGCCGCUGUCCCCACGUUCCCGUUUGCCCUUCAUCCCACCUUUUUCGGGUAGUGGUAGCCUCUCAUGGGGCUCUAACUGCUGCAUUAUGGGCAAACGUGGGAUCUCGCGUCUCCCGCAACGGUUCUGGGAAAGCGCAACUACCGUGAUUCUGUGAGAUCGUGUUUCCGCUUUUCGGGGGACGGGUACCGGCUCGGUAUAUGGCUCUGGUCAGUAUUCGUCUCUGAUCG
Molecule: long non-coding RNA, 299 nt
Filed under: Citrus maxima (pomelo)
Lineage: Eukaryota; Viridiplantae; Streptophyta; Magnoliopsida; Sapindales; Rutaceae
Description: long non-coding RNA (CMAX_LNC003632)
Source: RNAcentral